CAGUAGCCGCGGGAAAACGAAGGGGGCUAGCGUUGCUCGGAAUGACUGGGCGUAAAGGGCGCGUAGGCGGCAUGUACAGUCAGACGUGAAAUUCCUGGGCUUAACCUGGGGGCUGCGUUUGAUACGUGCAGGCUAGAGUGGGGAAGAGGGUUGUGGAAUUCCCAGUGUAGAGGUGAAAUUCGUAGAUAUUGGGAAGAACACCGGUGGCGAAGGCGGCAACCUGGUCCUUGGCUGACGCUGAGGCGCGAAAGCGUGGGGAGCAAACAGGAUUAGAUACCCCAGUAGUCCCUGUCUCUUAUAC
RNAcentral lists this ribosomal RNA (301 nucleotides) under uncultured bacterium. RNAcentral's name for it is "partial 16S ribosomal RNA". It matches the Rfam family "Bacterial small subunit ribosomal RNA", at positions 509 to 807 of the family's 1533-position model. The record is from RNAcentral.